Molecule: transfer RNA, 72 nt
Filed under: Danionella translucida
Lineage: Eukaryota; Metazoa; Chordata; Actinopteri; Cypriniformes; Danionidae
Also listed under: 1 other name
Rfam family: tRNA
About the family: Transfer RNA (tRNA) molecules are approximately 80 nucleotides in length. Their secondary structure includes four short double-helical elements and three loops (D, anti-codon, and T loops). Further hydrogen bonds mediate the characteristic L-shaped molecular structure. tRNAs have two regions of fundamental functional importance: the anti-codon, which is responsible for specific mRNA codon recognition, and the 3' end, to which the tRNAs corresponding amino acid is attached (by aminoacyl-tRNA synthetases). tRNAs cope with the degeneracy of the genetic code in two manners: having more than one tRNA (with a specific anti-codon) for a particular amino acid; and 'wobble' base-pairing, i.e. permitting non-standard base-pairing at the 3rd anti-codon position.
Source: Rfam by way of RNAcentral
GGUUCUAUGGUGUAAUGGUUAGCACUCUGGACUCUGAAUCCAGCGAACUGAGUUCAAAUCUCGGUAGGACCU